UUGAUGUGAGUAUUACAUCAGGUACUGGUCCUUUUAAUAAUUUCUAGCCAGUGCUUAUGUUAUGCUCGCAUUAA
This 74-nucleotide microRNA precursor is filed under the name Mayetiola destructor (Hessian fly). RNAcentral describes it as "microRNA mir-12". It matches the Rfam family "mir-12 microRNA precursor family". The record is from RNAcentral. Lineage: Eukaryota; Metazoa; Arthropoda; Insecta; Diptera; Cecidomyiidae.